This 1117-nucleotide ribosomal RNA is filed under the name uncultured cyanobacterium. Its description in RNAcentral is "bacterial SSU rRNA". It matches the Rfam family "Bacterial small subunit ribosomal RNA", at positions 235 to 1375 of the family's 1533-position model. The record is from RNAcentral. Lineage: Bacteria; Bacillati; Cyanobacteriota.
CUCUGCUAAGCUAGUAGGUGAGGUAACGGUCACCUAGGCGACGAUCAGUAGCUGGUCUGAGAGGACGAUCAGCACACUGACUGAGACAGGUCCAGACUCUACGGGAGGCAGCAGUGGGGAAUUUCGCAAUUGGCGCAAGCCUGACGGAGCCAUACCGCGUGCGGGAGGAAGGCCCUUGGGUCGUAAACCGCUUUUAACAGGGAAGAAUAACUGACGGUACCUGUUGAAUAAGCCUCGGCUAACUCCGUGCCAGCAGCCGCGGUAAUACGGAGGAGGCAAGCGUUAUCCGGAAUUAUUGGGCGUAAAGCGUCCGCAGGUGGCUUACCAAGUCUGUUGUUAAAGCCCAGGGCUCAACCCUGGAUCAGCAAUGGAAACUGGUAGGCUAGAGUGCGGUAGGGGCAGAGGGAAUUCCCAGUGUAGCGGUGAAAUGCGUAGAUAUUGGGAAGAACACCAGUGGCGAAGGCGCUCUGCUGGACCGCAACUGACACUCAUGGACGAAAGCUAGGGGAGCGAAAGGGAUUAGAUACCCCUGUAGUCCUAGCCGUAAACGAUGAACACUAGGUGUUGGACGUAUCGACCCGUUCAGUGCCGUAGCCAACGCGUUAAGUGUUCCGCCUGGGGAGUACGCACGCAAGUGUGAAACUCAAAGGAAUUGACGGGGGCCCGCACAAGCGGUGGAGUAUGUGGUUUAAUUCGAUGCAACGCGAAGAACCUUACCAGGGCUUGACAUGUCGCGAAUCUUUGGGAAACCUUAGAGUGCCUUCGGGAGCGCGAACACAGGUGGUGCAUGGCUGUCGUCAGCUCGUGUCGUGAGAUGUUGGGUUAAGUCCCGCAACGAGCGCAACCCACGUAUUUAGUUGCCAUCAUUAAGUUGGGCACUCUAGAUAGACUGCCGGUGACAAACCGGAGGAAGGUGUGGAUGACGUCAAGUCAGCAUGCCCCUUACGUCCUGGGCUACACACGUACUACAAUGGUUGGGACAAAGGGUUGCAAACUCGCGAGAGUGAGCGAAUCUCAGCAAACCCUGCCUCAGUUCAGAUUGCAGGCUGCAACUCGCCUGCAUGAAGGAGGAAUCGCUAGUAAUCGCAGGUCAGCAUACUGCGGUGAAUUCGUUCCC